This 407-nucleotide ribosomal RNA is filed under the name uncultured bacterium. RNAcentral describes it as "partial 16S ribosomal RNA". It matches the Rfam family "Bacterial small subunit ribosomal RNA", at positions 30 to 526 of the family's 1533-position model. The record is from RNAcentral.
AUUGAACGCUAGCGGGAUGCCUUACACAUGCAAGUCGAACGGAGUGGCGAACGGGUGAGUAAUGUAUCGGAACGUGCCCAGUAGCGGGGGAUAACUACGCGAAAGCGUAGCUAAUACCGCAUACUAUUGGCGCGGCCGAUAGCGGAUUAGCUAGUUGGAGGGGUAGCGGCUAACCAAGGCGACGGUCCAUAUCUGGUUUGAGAGGACGACCAGCCACACUGGGACUGAGACACGGCCCAGACUCCUACGGGAGGCAGCAGUGGGGAAUUUUGGACAAUGGGGGAAAGCCUGAUCCAGCCAUCCCGCGUGUGUGAAGAAGGCCUUCGGGUUGUAAAGCACUUUUGGCAGGGAAGCGGUACCUGCAGAAUAAGCACCGGCUAACUACGUGCCAGCAGCCGCGGUAAUUC